GCGCGGGUGGUGGAAUGGCAGACACGCUACUUUGAGGGGGUAGUGGGGAAACCCAUGAGGGUUCAACUCCCUCCCCGCGCACUA
Molecule: transfer RNA, 84 nt
Filed under: Candidatus Omnitrophota bacterium
Lineage: Bacteria; Pseudomonadati; Candidatus Omnitrophota
Description: Candidatus Omnitrophica bacterium tRNA-Leu
Rfam family: tRNA
About the family: Transfer RNA (tRNA) molecules are approximately 80 nucleotides in length.
Source: RNAcentral